UGUGGACGUUAACUCUCGUCCAGCUGAGCGAGCUCCCGCGACACUGCUGUGCUACGUGCUGAAAGGAUCCUGAAGGUUUCAUGCCAGAGAUUUUGGGGACAGCAGAAGGCCACUGUUACAGAGCCUGGAGGACCCCACCCAGCACUGGCCUCUGCUCAUCAUGUCCCUGCGGGAUACGGCGACGAGCGGGAGGAGAGAGAUGGCAGGCGCUGGCGGAAAUCACAAGGGCAUUCUGGGAGCUGCAGGUGACCGCCAUGACGUCAACCGGUGAAAUACCUCGGCUGCCUUUACUCUGCCUUCUGCGCCAAUAAAGUGGCACGAAAGCCGACCGACCUGCAUGCCACAGAGAUGCAUCUCCAGAAAGUGACUCCAUGGAUGGCUCCUCCUGUACCGCAUCUUCCUCGAAUUUGAGCGUCCCCGAUUCCGUCAGCGCCUCGGACCC
Molecule: long non-coding RNA, 442 nt
Organism: Brienomyrus brachyistius
Lineage: Eukaryota; Metazoa; Chordata; Actinopteri; Osteoglossiformes; Mormyridae
Exons: 4
Source: RefSeq, a predicted model, not a curated record